Molecule: ribosomal RNA, 265 nt
Filed under: uncultured bacterium
Lineage: Bacteria
Description: partial 16S ribosomal RNA
Rfam family: Bacterial small subunit ribosomal RNA
Source: RNAcentral
CGAACGCUGGCGGCAGGCUUAACACAUGCAAGUCGAGCGAAUCCUUCGGGAUGAGCGGCGGACGGGUGAGUAACGCGUGAGUAACCUGCCUCAUACACAGGGAAAGCCAUUGGAAACUAUGAUUAAUACCUGAUAACACAUAUUUAACACAAUGUUAGAUAUGUCAAAGAUUUAUCGGUAUGGGAUGGGCUCGCGUCAGAUUAGCUAGUUGGUAAGGUAACGGCUUACCAAGGCGACGAUCAGUAGCCGGCCUGAGAGGAUGAUC